This is a long non-coding RNA of Oncorhynchus kisutch (coho salmon), 782 nucleotides long. RefSeq lists it as uncharacterized. NCBI's taxonomy places the organism in Eukaryota, Metazoa, Chordata, Actinopteri, Salmoniformes, Salmonidae. The record is from RefSeq and is a predicted model, not a curated record. The transcript has 2 exons.
GACUGCUGUUUGACAAACAAAAGUAAUCUCGCUCUUUUGUCCAUAAUAAUAAUAAUAAUAAUAAUCUCAUCCGGUAGGCUACAGGUGCACUCUAGUCAACAGUGUGCCGGUAGCGGUGUGCGCACUUGCAAAUACCAGAGCGGGCACACUUACCAUAUAAGGCAAAAAAAAGAAUUGUGCGCAAAACCAUCAGUAGUGUUGAAAAUACAAAAGGUAUUUUAUGUGCACUACCUCACCACACCACAGCGUUUUAUCUGAAAACCAUCAGUAGUGUUGAAAAUACAAAAGGUAUUUUAUGUGUACUACCUCACCACACCACAGCGUUUUAUCUGAAAACCAUCAGUAGUGUUGCAAAUACAAAAGGUAUUUUAUGUGCACUACCUCACCACACCACAGCGUUUUAUCUGAAAACCAUCAGUAGUGUUGAAAAUACAAAAGGUAUUUUAUGUGCACUACCUCACCACACCACAGCGUUUUAUCUGAAAACCAUCAGUAGUGUUGAAAAUACAAAAGGUAUUUUAUGUGCACUACCUCACCACACCACAGCGUUUUAUCUGAAAACCAUCAGUAGUGUUGAAAAUACAAAAGGUAUUUUAUGUGCACUACCUCACCACACCACAGCGUUUUAUCUGAAAACCAUCAGUAGUGUUGAAAAUACAAAAGGUAUUUUAUGUGCACUACCUCACCACACCACAGCGUUUUAUCUGAAAACCAUCAGUAGUGUUGAAAAUACAAAAGGUAUUUUAUGUGCACUACCUCACCACACCACAGCGUUUUAUCUG